RNAcentral lists this long non-coding RNA (429 nucleotides) under Sarcophilus harrisii (Tasmanian devil). RNAcentral describes it as "lncRNA (ENSSHAG00000030565.1)". Lineage: Eukaryota; Metazoa; Chordata; Mammalia; Dasyuromorphia; Dasyuridae. The record is from RNAcentral.
UUACAAUUAAGUCAAUUUGUGUGUCUAUAUCAUUUCAUACUCAAUUAUUCAUUUAAAAUUUUGCUUGAUGUAGUGGAAAGAUCAGUAGAUUAGAAAUCAGAUUUAUAGGAUCCAUCUCCAGGACACUUAAGAAGCCAUCAGUCAACUCUUCUGUAUUGAAGACAAUAAAACAGGUAUCCAAGAAGCCUGGAUGGAUUGAGGCAGUUUGUCCUGUUCACCGAUUAAAUCUUGAGGAUCAUUUUCAUAUCUUUUAAGGAAAAUUACUUGUCCAAGACACAUGAUCCAACAGCAGAGGAGUAGACCCCAACCAGGAACAUCCGUGACCUGGGGAAUCAAGAAGAGAAGGACCAGAUGACAAAGGCAUUGCUGAUGACGAUGGUCCCAAAGGAUCAGUUGGAUGUCAGUAACCUUGCAGAUGCUGGUGAUAGA